AGAUGAAGCUUCGUUUGCUCACUUCCUGUUGUGUGGCCCAGACAGGGCACUGUCUGUGGCCCCAGGGGUUGAGGACCCCUGGCUUUAACAACAGAAAGGGAGGGAAUUGGGAUCUGAAGACGUUGCAUUCGAGGUCUCGGGGCUCCUGAUGAGCAGCCUCGGCCUGACCUGGGGCAGGUGUGAUGUCUGCGGCUCACCAUCUCCACCCUGCCUGCUGUGGAAUCUCCACAACGACAGGUGCUUUGGAGGCCAGAGUGCAUGCGUACGGGCCCUGCACACGCUGAAUGUCACUGGGAACAAGGACACACCCCGCUUCCAGGAGAAGAUAGAACAUGUCGACCCCUUUUGCUCUCGUUCUGUUGCCCAGGCUGGAGUUCAGUGGCAUGAUCUUGGCUCACUGCAGCCUCGAACUCACAGGCUUAGGUGAUCCUCCCACCUCAGCCUCCUCAGUAGCUGGGACUACAGAGCCAUCCCCAGUGCAGGACAUGCUAUUGACUUCCAUGAGACAAACACCUACUUGGAAAUCAGGUUUUUUCUGUACCUUUUGAAGGAGCAGGAAUUUCCCAGCAUUUCCUGGACAAAGACGGAGGCCACAUUCGCUGCAUCCUUUCCAGCAAGAUGUCAUUCUGAGAUUUUUGUCAUUCCUGGGCGUUAUGAGGACUGCCAAGGGACACAAUUCCAUGGGAGGAAAGUUUUCUUCUAAGCUGCAAGCCAGCUCUGGCUUCUGGAGUUUCUCCUUAGGAUUGCAAGACAGUAGUUCCCUGUCCUUUAGGUCUUCUCCAGAAAUACCUUAAAAUAGCAAAUAAAAUAAGAUAUAAGCAAACAAAA
Molecule: long non-coding RNA, 828 nt
Organism: Homo sapiens (human)
Lineage: Eukaryota; Metazoa; Chordata; Mammalia; Primates; Hominidae
Gene: SCAT1
Product: S-phase cancer associated transcript 1
Source: Ensembl